This 305-nucleotide ribosomal RNA is filed under the name uncultured bacterium. RNAcentral describes it as "bacterial SSU rRNA". It matches the Rfam family "Bacterial small subunit ribosomal RNA", at positions 337 to 640 of the family's 1533-position model. The record is from RNAcentral.
UCCUACGGGAGGCAGCAGUGAGGAAUAUUGGUCAAUGGGAGAGAUCCUGAACCAGCCAAGCCGCGUGAGGGAAGACGGCCCUAUGGGUUGUAAACCUCUUUUGUCGGAGAACAAAGCCCGGGACGUGUCCCGGACUGCGUGUAUCCGAAGAAAAAGCAUCGGCUAACUCCGUGCCAGCAGCCGCGGUAAUACGGAGGAUGCGAGCGUUAUCCGGAUUUAUUGGGUUUAAAGGGUGCGUAGGCGGUCCGUUCAGUCAGCGGUCAAAUUGCGGGGCUCAACCCCGUCGAGCCGUUGAAACUGGCAGA